Molecule: ribosomal RNA, 575 nt
Filed under: uncultured bacterium
Lineage: Bacteria
Description: bacterial SSU rRNA
Rfam family: Bacterial small subunit ribosomal RNA
Source: RNAcentral
GAGCUUGCUCCCCGGGUGACGAGUGGCGGACGGGUGAGUAAUGUCUGGGGAUCUGCCCGAUGGAGGGGGAUAACUACUGGAAACGGUAGCUAAUACCGCAUAACCUCGAAAGAGCAAAGUGGGGGACCUUCGGGCCUCACACCAUCGGAUGAACCCAGAUGGGAUUAGCUAGUAGGUGGGGUAACGGCUCACCUAGGCGACGAUCCCUAGCUGGUCUGAGAGGAUGACCAGCCACACUGGAACUGAGACACGGUCCAGACUCCUACGGGAGGCAGCAGUGGGGAAUAUUGCACAAUGGGCGCAAGCCUGAUGCAGCCAUGCCGCGUGUAUGAAGAAGGCCUUCGGGUUGUAAAGUACUUUCAGCGGGGAGGAAGGGAUGAAGGUUAAUAACCUUCGUCAUUGACGUUACCCGCAGAAGAAGCACCGGCUAACUCCGUGCCAGCAGCCGCGGUAAUACGGAGGGUGCAAGCGUUAAUCGGAAUUACUGGGCGUAAAGCGCACGCAGGCGGUUUGUUAAGUCAGAUGUGAAAUCCCCGGGCUCAACCUGGGAACUGCUUUGAAACUGGCAAGCUUGA